This 253-nucleotide ribosomal RNA is filed under the name uncultured bacterium. RNAcentral describes it as "partial 16S ribosomal RNA". It matches the Rfam family "Bacterial small subunit ribosomal RNA", at positions 524 to 776 of the family's 1533-position model. The record is from RNAcentral.
UACGUAGGGUGCGAGCGUUAAUCGAAAUUACUGGGCGUAAAGCGUGCGCAGGCGGUUUUGUAAGCCAGAUGUGAAAGCCCCGGGCUCAACCUGGGAAUGGCAUUUGGGACUGCAAGGCUUGAGUGCGGCAGAGGAGACUGGAAUUCCUGGUGUAGCAGUGAAAUGCGUAGAUAUCAGGAGGAAUACCGAUGGCGAAGGCAGGUCUCUGGGCUGACACUGACGCUCAUGCACGAAAGCGUGGGGAGCAAACAGG